AUGCGUUCGGCAGCUGAUGCAGACCUUACUACGCAUGCUAAAUUCUUCAUCAACAACCUCAAAGAGACAUGGAACCGUCACUAUGAAAACUCAAAGGUCCAGAUCAGACAUUUUCCAAUUGAGUACAUGGCGACUACGAAGCAAGGUAACACGACGGACUGUGGCUUUCACACAUUUUUAAUACCUUGCAAAGUGGGAAGGUAG
This 204-nucleotide ribosomal RNA is filed under the name Triticum aestivum (bread wheat). RNAcentral describes it as "partial small subunit ribosomal RNA". Lineage: Eukaryota; Viridiplantae; Streptophyta; Magnoliopsida; Poales; Poaceae. The record is from RNAcentral.